RNAcentral lists this unclassified non-coding RNA (199 nucleotides) under uncultured fungus. RNAcentral describes it as "sequence contains ITS1". The record is from RNAcentral. Lineage: Eukaryota; Fungi.
UAUAAAUUUUUUCAAAUAGCAUUCUAAAACUUUUAUGACAGUGGUGUAUUGAAAAGGCAUAGACCAACAAACAAUGUCAGCCUACAAAAGGUGCACAGUGGUAUAAGAUUCGGAUAGAGGUGUGCACAUAUCUCAAAGGAUCAGCUACAACCCCCUUCAAAAUUCAAUAAUGAUCCUUCCGCAGGUUCACCUACGGAAA